AUGCUGCUCCGCCUCGGCCCCUUGCCCACCCUGGUUGUCUCGUCCGCGAACGUGGCGCGCGAGGUGCUGCAGCUGCGGGACCACGCCUUCGCCAACCGGCCCGCGCUCGCCAUCCCGCGGCGGCUCCUCUACGGCUGCAUGGACAUCGCCUUCGCUCCCCACGGCGCCUACUGGCGUGGUGUGUGCACGAUCGUCGUGCCCCACCUGCUGAGCCCCGCCAGGGUGCGCACCUACCGCGGCGUGCGCGAGGAGGUGGCCGAGCUUGUCCGGAAAGUGCAGCAGCAGGCACAUGAAGGCGGCGUCGUGCGGUCGAGCAAUCUCCUGAGUGGCUUCGCCAAGGACGUGAACGGGCGAAUCGUGCUCGGGCGAUUUGAUUCCUGUUGUGUAUGA
Molecule: ribosomal RNA, 390 nt
Filed under: Triticum aestivum (bread wheat)
Lineage: Eukaryota; Viridiplantae; Streptophyta; Magnoliopsida; Poales; Poaceae
Description: partial small subunit ribosomal RNA
Source: RNAcentral